This is a small nucleolar RNA of Sorghum bicolor (sorghum), 107 nucleotides long. It matches the Rfam family "Plant small nucleolar RNA R71". Rfam says of the family: R71 is a member of the C/D box family of snoRNAs containing the C (UGAUGA) and D (CUGA) box motifs. The record is from Rfam. NCBI's taxonomy places the organism in Eukaryota, Viridiplantae, Streptophyta, Magnoliopsida, Poales, Poaceae.
AUUCUAUGAUGGGGACAUUCUAGGAUGUAGUCUUGGAAGAGCUCCCAUGCUUCUGGAACGGAUUCGUCAUUUUGUUGCUGAAAACUUGUAAUCUUCCCACGGAGAGC